RNAcentral lists this transfer RNA (71 nucleotides) under Nanobdellota archaeon. Its description in RNAcentral is "tRNA-Trp". It matches the Rfam family "tRNA". From Rfam's summary of the family: Transfer RNA (tRNA) molecules are approximately 80 nucleotides in length. Lineage: Archaea; Nanobdellati; Nanobdellota. The record is from RNAcentral.
GGGUCUGUAGUAUACUGGUAUUAUGUCGGCCUCCAGAGCCGAAGAAGGGGGUUCGAUUCCCUCCAGGCCCA